Molecule: long non-coding RNA, 472 nt
Organism: Chelonoidis abingdonii (Abingdon island giant tortoise)
Lineage: Eukaryota; Metazoa; Chordata; Testudines; Testudinidae
Source: RefSeq, a predicted model, not a curated record
AGCAAGAUUGCCUUCCCUUCAGUGCAAGACUUAACUACUUCCCAAUACAACAAAAAAUGCAAAUGAGAAGUGGGAAGCGCCUCACUCUGAAAUCAAGGAGAGCUUGCCGUCAGGCUCCAACUCAUGGGAAGAGAAGGGGGUAGAGGGGAGAAUAAAAACCGUGUGCAAAAUAUAUUCAGAUCUGUUAACUAAUAAAGGCUAAACCAUAACUGCCCCUUGUUUUAUCUGAAAUGUUUAAAAGGGUACAAAACCCUAACAUUUUUAUGUAAAAACAAUUAAUUUUUUUUCCGGCUGGUGAAUUUGUAGUGGAAACUACAAAGAUAACAUUGCUUAAAAGGACGCUGCAAUUUGAAAUUUCUUUCAUAACUUUUCCAAAAUGGGUUUUUCUGUCUCUUCUGAUCAUAGCCAAGGAUGUGUCCCACUGGAGAACCAGAUAAAAAGACAUCAGAAAAGAGACCUUUGUCUCAUUGGG